RNAcentral lists this ribosomal RNA (253 nucleotides) under uncultured bacterium. RNAcentral describes it as "partial 16S ribosomal RNA". It matches the Rfam family "Bacterial small subunit ribosomal RNA", at positions 524 to 776 of the family's 1533-position model. The record is from RNAcentral.
UACGAAGGGGACUAGCGUUGUUCGGAAUCACUGGGCGGAAAGCGCACGUAGGCGGAUAUGUCAGUCAGGGGUGAAAUCCCGGGGCUCAACCUCGGAACUGCCUUUGAUACAGCAUGUCUUGAGUCCGAUAGAGGUGGGUGGAAUUCCUAGUGUAGAGGUGAAAUUCGUAGAUAUUAGGAAGAACACCGGUGGCGAAGGCGGCCCACUGGAUCGGUACUGACGCUGAGGUGCGAAAGCGUGGGGAGCAAACAGG